CCUACGGGUGGCAGCAGUGGGGAAUAUUGCGCAAUGGGCGAAAGCCUGACGCAGCGACGCCGCGUGAGGGAUGAAGGUCUUCGGAUCGUAAACCUCUGUCAGCAGGGAAGAACGGUCACUGUGCUAAUCAGCAGUGAAUUGACGGUACCUGCAAAGGAAGCACCGGCUAACUCCGUGCCAGCAGCCGCGGUAAUACGGAGGGUGCGAGCGUUAAUCGGAAUUACUGGGCGUAAAGCGCUCGUAGGCGGUAUGUCAAGUCAAGGGGGAAAUCCCCGCGCUCAACGUGGGAACUGCCUUUGAAACUGGCAAACUGGAGGGGGUGAGAGGAUAGUGGAAUUCCAGGUGUAGGAGGGAAAUCCGUAGAUAUCUGGAGGAACAUCAGUGGCGAAGGCGACUAUCUGGCACAUAACUGACGCUGAGGAGCGAAAGCGUGGGUAGCAAACAGGAUUAGAUACCCCAGUAGUC
Molecule: ribosomal RNA, 465 nt
Filed under: uncultured bacterium
Lineage: Bacteria
Description: partial 16S ribosomal RNA
Rfam family: Bacterial small subunit ribosomal RNA
Source: RNAcentral